Molecule: small RNA, 513 nt
Filed under: Pongo abelii (Sumatran orangutan)
Lineage: Eukaryota; Metazoa; Chordata; Mammalia; Primates; Hominidae
Description: retained intron
Source: RNAcentral
CCUACGACACGGACGCAGGCCCCGUGUUCGUCAAAGUCAACCGCAGGACGCAGGCCCGGCAGAUGUUUGAGGGGGAGGUGGCCAGCCUGGAGGCCCUCCGGAGCACGGGCCUGGUGCGGGUGCCGAGGCCCAUGAAGGUCAUCGACCUGCCGGGAGGUGGGGCCGCCUUUGUGAUGGAGCAUUUGAAGAUGAGGAGCUUGAGCAGUCAAGCAUCAACACUUGGAGAGCAGAUGGCAGAUUUGCAUCUUUACAACCAGAAGCUCAGGGAGAAGUUGAAGGAGGAGGAGAACACAGUGGGCCGAAGAGGUGAGGGUGCUGAGCCUCAGUACGUGAACAAGUUCGGCUUCCACACAGUGACGUGCUGCGGCUUCAUCCCGCAGGUGAGUGCCUGGGUGAGGGUGUUCCCUGAUGCCCUAAUGCUGGUCACCCACUCUUUAUAUGUGACAGAAUGCCAAUCCCCCAGGCACCAGCAAGAUUGGCUACUUGAUUUCUGAAAGCAGAGUAGAAGCUGUG